AGUCGUAACAAGGUAUCCGUAGGUGAACCUGCGGAUGGAUCAUUACAAAAGAUUCAUCUCUAACGUAUUGUGAACCAUUUGAUCAACCGUCAGUGUGUUAAGCCGUUCGCGGUACUUAUCGCAGUAAUCAGUCAUGACCUACUUAGUUUGUCAUGACCUACUGCACCCACUGACGGUACUAUACUAAACGUAUUGCCAAUUCCAAAACUGAAGUCUUUUUAGUUACUAACUAAAGAUAACUUUUAGCAACGGAUCUCUUGGCUCUC
This 266-nucleotide unclassified non-coding RNA is filed under the name fungal sp. RNAcentral describes it as "partial internal transcribed spacer region". The stretch from base 1 to 45 matches the Rfam family "Eukaryotic small subunit ribosomal RNA", at positions 1787 to 1831 of the family's 1831-position model. The record is from RNAcentral. Lineage: Eukaryota; Fungi.